UAGGGAAUCUUCGGCAAUGGACGAAAGUCUGACCGAGCAACGCCGCGUGAGUGAAGAAGGUUUUCGGAUCGUAAAACUCUGUUGUUAGAGAAGAACAAGGACGUUAGUAACUGAACGUCCCCUGACGGUAUCUAACCAGAAAGCCACGGCUAACUACGUGCCAGCAGCCGCGGUAAUACGUAGGUGGCAAGCGUUGUCCGGAUUUAUUGGGCGUAAAGCGAGCGCAGGCGGUUUCUUAAGUCUGAUGUGAAAGCCCCCGGCUCAACCGGGGAGGGUCAUUGGAAGCUGGGAGACUUGAGGGCAGAAGAGGAGAGUGGAAUUCCAUGUGUAGCGGUGAAAUGCGUAGAUAUAUGGAGGAACACCAGUGGCGAAGGCGGCUCGCUGGUCUGUAACUGACGCUGAGGCUCGAAAGCGUGGGGAGCAAACAGG
This 429-nucleotide ribosomal RNA is filed under the name Gemmatimonadota bacterium. Its description in RNAcentral is "Gemmatimonadetes bacterium partial 16S ribosomal RNA". It matches the Rfam family "Bacterial small subunit ribosomal RNA", at positions 355 to 776 of the family's 1533-position model. The record is from RNAcentral. Lineage: Bacteria; Pseudomonadati; Gemmatimonadota.